RNAcentral lists this ribosomal RNA (399 nucleotides) under uncultured bacterium. RNAcentral's name for it is "bacterial SSU rRNA". It matches the Rfam family "Bacterial small subunit ribosomal RNA", at positions 355 to 771 of the family's 1533-position model. The record is from RNAcentral.
UGGGGAAUAUUGGACAAUGGGCGAAAGCCUGAUCCAGCCAUGCCGCGUGAGUGAUGAAGGCCCUAGGGUUGUAAAGCUCUUUCGCCAGGGAAGAUAAUGACGGUACCUGGUAAAGAAGCCCCGGCUAACUUCGUGCCAGCAGCCGCGGUAAUACGAAGGGGGCUAGCGUUGUUCGGAAUUACUGGGCGUAAAGCGCACGUAGGCGGGUCAUUAAGUCAGGGGUGAAAUCCCAAGGCUCAACCUUGGAACUGCCUCUGAUACUGAUGAUCUUGAGUCCGAGAGAGGUGAGUGGAACUCCGAGUGUAGAGGUGAAAUUCGCAGAUAUUCGGAAGAACACCAGUGGCGAAGGCGGCUCACUGGCUCGGUACUGACGCUGAGGUGCGAAAGCGUGGGGAGCAA